UUGGAUUUUGCAAGUGUGAAAACUGCCCA
RNAcentral lists this non-coding RNA (29 nucleotides) under Mus musculus (house mouse). The record is from RNAcentral. Lineage: Eukaryota; Metazoa; Chordata; Mammalia; Rodentia; Muridae.